RNAcentral lists this ribosomal RNA (253 nucleotides) under uncultured bacterium. RNAcentral describes it as "partial 16S ribosomal RNA". It matches the Rfam family "Bacterial small subunit ribosomal RNA", at positions 524 to 776 of the family's 1533-position model. The record is from RNAcentral.
GACAGAGGGUGCAAACGUUGUUCGGAAUUACUGGGCGUAAAGCGCGUGUAGGCGGCAGGGCAAGUCGGAUGUGAAAUCCCGUGGCUCAACCACGGAAGUGCACCCGAAACUGCCCAGCUAGAGUCUCGGAGAGGAAGGUGGAAUGCUUGGUGUAGAGGUGAAAUUCGUAGAUAUCAAGCGGAACACCGGUGGCGAAGGCGGCCUUCUGGACGAUGACUGACGCUGAGACGCGAAAGCCAGGGGAGCAAACGGG